CUAAUACCGCAUAACGUCGCAAGACCAAAGAGGGGGACCUUCGGGCCUCUUGCCAUCGGAUGUGCCCAGAUGGGAUUAGCUAGUAGGUGGGGUAACGGCUCACCUAGGCGACGAUCCCUAGCUGGUCUGAGAGGAUGACCAGCCACACUGGAACUGAGACACGGUCCAGACUCCUACGGGAGGCAGCAGUGGGGAAUAUUGCACAAUGGGCGCAAGCCUGAUGCAGCCAUGCCGCGUGUAUGAAGAAGGCCUUCGGGUUGUAAAGUACUUUCAGCGGGGAGGAAGGGAGUAAAGUUAAUACCUUUGCUCAUUGACGUUACCCGCAGAAGAAGCACCGGCUAACUCCGUGCCAGCAGCCGCGGUAAUACGGAGGGUGCAAGCGUUAAUCGGAAUUACUGGGCGUAAAGCGCACGCAGGCGGUUUGUUAAGUCAGAUGUGAAAUCCCCGGGCUCAACCUGGGAACUGCAUCUGAUACUGGCAAGCUUGAGUCUCGUAGAGGGGGGUAGAAUUCCAGGUGUAGCGGUGAAAUGCGUAGAGAUCUGGAGGAAUACCGGUGGCGAAGGCGGCCCCCUGGACGAAGACUGACGCUCAGGUGCGAAAGCGUGGGGAGCAAACAGGAUU
Molecule: ribosomal RNA, 621 nt
Filed under: Shigella flexneri
Lineage: Bacteria; Pseudomonadati; Pseudomonadota; Gammaproteobacteria; Enterobacterales; Enterobacteriaceae
Description: bacterial SSU rRNA
Rfam family: Bacterial small subunit ribosomal RNA
Source: RNAcentral